RNAcentral lists this unclassified non-coding RNA (240 nucleotides) under uncultured Gymnostellatospora. RNAcentral describes it as "sequence contains ITS2". The stretch from base 1 to 52 matches the Rfam family "5.8S ribosomal RNA", at positions 103 to 154 of the family's 154-position model. The record is from RNAcentral. Lineage: Eukaryota; Fungi; Ascomycota; Leotiomycetes; Myxotrichaceae.
AACGCACAUUGCGCUCCCUGGUAUUCCGGGGAGCAUGCCUGUUCGAGCGUCAUUACAACCCUCAAGCUCUGCUUGGUGUUGGGCCCCGCCGCCCCGGCGGGCCCUAAAGUCAGUGGCGGUGCCGUCCGGCUCCGAGCGUAGUAAUUUUUCUCGCUUUGGAGGCCCGGGCGCGUGCUCGCCAUCAACCCCCAAUUUUUUCAGGUUGACCUCGGAUCAGGUAGGGAUACCCGCUGAACUUAA